AACUGUAUGCUAGAUCUUGAGUUGCUUUUAUUUUUAAAAGGAUGUCAGAAGCUUUACUCCUUCAAGUACGUGUAUUUAUUCUUUUGGUAGCAGUAAGAUAAACGCUGCACUGUUGUACCUGUACAUUACUUCGCACCAGAUGGCUUCCAAUACUUUUUAC
Molecule: small RNA, 160 nt
Filed under: Oryza sativa Japonica Group (Japanese rice)
Lineage: Eukaryota; Viridiplantae; Streptophyta; Magnoliopsida; Poales; Poaceae
Description: misc RNA ClpC1
Source: RNAcentral